Molecule: ribosomal RNA, 795 nt
Filed under: uncultured bacterium
Lineage: Bacteria
Description: bacterial SSU rRNA
Rfam family: Bacterial small subunit ribosomal RNA
Source: RNAcentral
AGAGUUUGAUCAUGGCUCAGAGUGAACGCUGGCGGCAGGCCUAACACAUGCAAGUCGAGCGGCAGCACGGGUAGCAAUACCUGGUGGCGAGCGGCGGACGGGUGAGGAAUACAUCGGUAUCUGCCUCGUCGUGGGGGAUAACGUAGGGAAACUUACGCUAAUACCGCAUACGACCGAGAGGUGAAAGCGGGGGAUCGCAAGACCUCGCGCGAUGAGAUGAGCCGAUGUCGGAUUAGCUAGUUGGCGGGGUAAGAGCCCACCAAGGCGACGAUCCGUAGCUGGUCUGAGAGGAUGAUCAGCCACACUGGAACUGAGACACGGUCCAGACUCCUACGGGAGGCAGCAGUGGGGAAUAUUGGACAAUGGGCGCAAGCCUGAUCCAGCCAUGCCGCGUGGGUGAAGAAGGCCUUCGGGUUGUAAAGCCCUUUUGUCCGGGACGAAAUUGUACGGGUGAAUAUCCCGUGCGGAUGACGGUACCGGAAGAAUAAGCACCGGCUAACUUCGUGCCAGCAGCCGCGGUAAUACGAAGGGUGCAAGCGUUACUCGGAAUUACUGGGCGUAAAGCGUGCGUAGGCGGUUUGUUAAGUCCGCUGUGAAAGCCCUGGGCUCAACCUGGGAAUUGCAGUGGAUACUGGCAAGCUAGAGUGCGGUAGAGGAUGGUGGAAUUCCCGGUGUAGCGGUGAAAUGCGUAGAGAUCGGGAGGAACACCCGUGGCGAAGGCGGCCAUCUGGACCAGCACUGACGCUGAGGCACGAAAGCGUGGGGAGCAAACAGGAUUAGAUACCCUAGUAGUCC